This 453-nucleotide long non-coding RNA is filed under the name Carica papaya (papaya). Its description in RNAcentral is "long non-coding RNA (CPAP_LNC016656)". Lineage: Eukaryota; Viridiplantae; Streptophyta; Magnoliopsida; Brassicales; Caricaceae. The record is from RNAcentral.
CAUUGAUUCUUCUAUUUUGUUUAUUUAGCUAUUGCUUCACCAUUAAAAGUUACAGAGUUCUUACUUUUCUACUUAUGUUAUUGUAUGAUGCUCAAUUUGACACCUUUUAAGUUUUUACUUUUUCUUAUAGGAGAUAAUUGAAGCUAAUAUAGAGGGUAAAUUAAUGAGUAUAUUGAAUAUGGUCAUUUUCUUUGAUUUCUACACUUACACCUAAGAGAGUGAGCAGAUAAUCAGAGUUGUCUAUGGUUAUAACAAGUUAACUGAGUUGGUGAAUUAACGUGGCAUCAAGCUUGCAAUAGGGAUCUAAUACAUGGAGUUUGAAGAAAAGAAAAUGAAGGGGAUUGGUGGUAGUUAAGGCAAUAGGAGGAUUAGAAGAGUAUAAAAAACAAAUACAAGAUUACAUAUGAAAUGUUUCCAAAUCAUUAUAAUUAGCUAAAGAACAAGUCUUAUAUA